ACGGGUGAGUAAUGUCUGGGGAUCUGCCCGAUAGAGGGGGAUAACCACUGGAAACGGUGGCUAAUACCGCAUAACGUCGCAAGACCAAAGAGGGGGACCUUCGGGCCUCUCACUAUCGGAUGAACCCAGAUGGGAUUAGCUAGUAGGCGGGGUAACGGCCCACCUAGGCGACGAUCCCUAGCUGGUCUGAGAGGAUGACCAGCCACACUGGAACUGAGACACGGUCCAGACUCCUACGGGAGGCAGCAGUGGGGAAUAUUGCACAAUGGGCGCAAGCCUGAUGCAGCCAUGCCGCGUGUAUGAAGAAGGCCUUCGGGUUGUAAAGUACUUUCAGCGAGGAGGAAGGCGAUGUGGUUAAUAACCGCAUUGAUUGACGUUACCCGCAGAAGAAGCACCGGCUAACUCCGUGCCAGCAGCCGCGGUAAUACGGAGGGUGCAAGCGUUAAUCGGAAUUACUGGGCGUAAAGCGCACGCAGGCGGUCUGUUAAGUCAGAUGUGAAAUCCCCGGGCUUAACCUGGGAACUGCAUUUGAAACUGGCAGGCUUGAGUCUCGUAGAGGGGGGUAGAAUUCCAGGUGUAGCG
This 582-nucleotide ribosomal RNA is filed under the name uncultured bacterium. RNAcentral describes it as "bacterial SSU rRNA". It matches the Rfam family "Bacterial small subunit ribosomal RNA", at positions 102 to 680 of the family's 1533-position model. The record is from RNAcentral.